Molecule: ribosomal RNA, 497 nt
Filed under: uncultured bacterium
Lineage: Bacteria
Description: partial 16S ribosomal RNA
Rfam family: Bacterial small subunit ribosomal RNA
Source: RNAcentral
GAUGAACGCUGGCGGCGUGCCUAAUACAUGCAAGUCGAGCGAACAGAUGAGGAGCUUGCUCCUCUGACGUUAGCGGCGGACGGGUGAGUAACACGUGGAUAACCUACCUAUAAGACUGGGAUAACUUCGGGAAACCGGAGCUAAUACCGGAUAAUAUAUUGAACCGCAUGGUUCAAUAGUGAAAGACAGUUUUGCUGUCACUUAUAGAUGGAUCCGCGCCGCAUUAGCUAGUUGGUAAGGUAACGGCUUACCAAGGCAACGAUGCGUAGCCGACCUGAGAGGGUGAUCGGCCACACUGGGACUGAGACACGGUCCAGACUCCUACGGGAGGCAGCAGUAGGGAACCUUCCGCAAUGGGCGAAAGCCUGACGGAGCAACGCCGCGUGAGUGAUGAAGGUCUUCGGAUCGUAAAACUCUGUUAUUAGGGAAGAACAAAUGUGUAAGUAACUAUGCACGUCUUGACGGUACCUAAUCAGAAAGCCACGGCUAACUACGUG